Molecule: long non-coding RNA, 348 nt
Filed under: Ursus maritimus (polar bear)
Lineage: Eukaryota; Metazoa; Chordata; Mammalia; Carnivora; Ursidae
Description: lncRNA (ENSUMAG00000019725.1)
Source: RNAcentral
AGAAAGCAAAAGACUGAAGGUUCUGAUUAUGCCUUUUUUCUCUUAUGUUACAGAAUGGAAAAGACUCCUGCAACUUGAUGACCACUUUGUGCAGAGAGACUCGUUUCCAAUAGAGCCAACCUCCAAGAAGUCACAGGAUUUGUUCCCAGCACUGGCCAACCAAUCUGAUUUGCUGCCACUGAAACUCAUCACAGCUGUUAGCACACAUCCAGUGAAGUGUUUGUGUGCAAAGCAGAAGGACUGCAAGAGUGUCUCAAGAUAACAGAUGUUAAGAAAGGUGAGGACUGGAUCUUCGAUGGCCACUCAAUACGGAUAACCAGGCAAGCUAGGCUGACUGCGUGAGCCUGC